Arvicola amphibius (Eurasian water vole) is the source of this 105-nucleotide small nuclear RNA. The record is from RefSeq and is a predicted model, not a curated record. NCBI's taxonomy places the organism in Eukaryota, Metazoa, Chordata, Mammalia, Rodentia, Cricetidae.
GCUCGCUUCGGCAGCACAUAUACUAAAACUAGAAGCAUACAGAGACGAUAAGCAAGGCCCCUGUGCAAGCAUGACAUGCACAUUCGUGAAGCGGUCCAAGCACUG